UAGGGAAUCUUGGGCAAUGGGCGCAAGCCUGACCCAGCCAUGCCGCGUGUGUGAAGAAGGCCUUAGGGUUGUAAAGCACUUUCAGUCGUGAAGAAAUGCUCAGGGUUAAUACCUCUGAGUCUUGACGUUAACGACAGAAGAAGAUCCGGCUAACUCCGUGCCAGCAGCCGCGGUAAUACGGAGGGAUCGAACGUUAAUCGGAAUUACUGGGCGUAAAGCGCGCGUAGGCGGUCUGUUAAGUGGGAUGUGAAAGCCCCGGGCUCAACCUGGGAACUGCAUUCCAAACUGCCAGACUAGAGUAUGGUAGAGGGAGGUAGAAUUUCCUGUGUAGCGGUGAAAUGCGUAGAUAUAGGAAGGAAUACCGGUGGCGAAGGCGGCCUCCUGGACCAAUACUGACGCUGAGGUGCGAAAGCGUGGGGAGCAAACAGGAUUAGAUACCCCCGUAGUCC
RNAcentral lists this ribosomal RNA (449 nucleotides) under uncultured prokaryote. Its description in RNAcentral is "bacterial SSU rRNA". It matches the Rfam family "Bacterial small subunit ribosomal RNA", at positions 355 to 796 of the family's 1533-position model. The record is from RNAcentral.